Molecule: long non-coding RNA, 511 nt
Organism: Syngnathus acus (greater pipefish)
Lineage: Eukaryota; Metazoa; Chordata; Actinopteri; Syngnathiformes; Syngnathidae
Exons: 2
Source: RefSeq, a predicted model, not a curated record
GUUUUAAGGACUUAGGGUGACGGUCCCGGGGCCCAGAUGGGAGCUAGAGGUUCCGCGGGCCUGGCUACAAUGAGUGUGGUGAUGAGAGGGGACGCUUUGCAGGUUCCUUUUGAUACGUAAUGACACAUUGGGUGAAUGUGUCAAAAGGGGGAGUGGUAAAAUAGAAAUGGGUGAGUAGGUUUCAAUUUGUAAUUGUGAUUUACAGUUUUUUUUUUCAAAUUCACUUGUUUUUAAGCUUUAACAGGACUUGCCAGAAUUCAACUAGCAGUGAUGGAAGGAGCAGAGGAAGACCAGUGACAUCUGGUUGUGGUGUGGUGACAACAAAUUAUAUGAUCGCUUGCCGAAGGAUGCAUCAGGUAUCUGUGCCCUCGUGUCUUUGAUAAUGCCUGGAGUGGUUGUCCCCAUUGAAAUACAGAAUCUCAAUUGGAACAUGGAGUCCCCACUGGCGGGGCUCCUGAAGCGAGCCAAAAGAGACGUUUUGCCCCCAUGGUUGAGCGACAACGAUCCAACA